This 262-nucleotide ribosomal RNA is filed under the name uncultured archaeon. RNAcentral's name for it is "partial 16S ribosomal RNA". It matches the Rfam family "Archaeal small subunit ribosomal RNA", at positions 748 to 1008 of the family's 1478-position model. The record is from RNAcentral.
AGGGUGUAAACGCUGCAGACUUGGUGUUGGAAGCCCUUUGGGGGCAUUCAGUGCCGGAGAGAAGUUGUUAAGUCUGCUACUUGGGGAGUACGUCCGCAAGGAUGAAACUUAAAGGAAUUGGCGGGGGGAGCACCGCAACGGGAGGAGCGUGCGGUUUAAUUGGAUUCAACACCGUAAAACUCACCAGGGAAGACUGUUACAUGAAAGCCGAGAUGAAGACUCUGCUAGAUUUUCAGAGAGGUGGUGCAUGGCGUCAGUGACU